Molecule: ribosomal RNA, 253 nt
Filed under: uncultured bacterium
Lineage: Bacteria
Description: partial 16S ribosomal RNA
Rfam family: Bacterial small subunit ribosomal RNA
Source: RNAcentral
UACGAAGGGGGCUAGCGUUGUUCGGAAUUACUGGGCGUAAAGCGCACGUAGGCGGAUCUUUAAGUCAGGGGUGAAAUCCCAAGGCUCAACCUUGGAACUGCCUUUGAUACUGGGGAUCUCGAGUCCGGAAGAGGUUGGUGGAACUGCGAGUGUAGAGGUGAAAUUCGUAGAUAUUCGCAAGAACACCAGUGGCGAAGGCGGCCAACUGGUCCGGUACUGACGCUGAGGUGCGAAAGCGUGGGGAGCAAACAGG